GCAUUUCGUCGGUGCAGCUCUUCAUUAUCUCUGGAUUACAGUAAAUGGCUAUUUAUUCAUGUCCUUCCUCAAUCUCUUCCCUAUACCGCUGUCAGAUGUACUUUUAAAAUCUAAAAGAAAAGAAUAAUCCUUAAACCGGGUGAAACCUAACAAAGGACUUUGGACUUGAUCCACAAGACUGGUUAAAAUUUUUUCAAUAAAAAUAAUAAUGAAUCAAUGAAGGCUUACCAAGAACUGAAGUAGGCUCAAAAGAGGGUUAAGGGCCCGGCUGGAAAAAGAAAGGGAAAGUUUGGGGGCGGCAUCUAAGGAGGGUGGUGGAAGUUCCAAAGCCCGGAUCCCAGAGAGGGGCGAGAGGGGGGACAGCGGCG
This is a long non-coding RNA of Mirounga angustirostris (Northern elephant seal), 368 nucleotides long. RefSeq lists it as uncharacterized. NCBI's taxonomy places the organism in Eukaryota, Metazoa, Chordata, Mammalia, Carnivora, Phocidae. The record is from RefSeq and is a predicted model, not a curated record. The transcript is spliced from 4 exons.